CGGGGGUUUAGUCAUCUUCUUCUUGCUCGAUUAGGAUUUUAUUUUGAAGGUGCUGACAGGAAGUGGUUCUUCCUCCCCGCAGCUUGACGGUGGGAACCGCGAGGAGCUCGAUGGUGACUGUGCACGUCGCUGUGUGAAUGACAGAGGAUGCAUGGAGGUCUCCGGCAGCUGGCAGCCACAGAUCCGUGUCCUCCUCGGUGCAGCAGCGGCGGCAGCGGGCGUCCUCUCCGCGGGCUCUUCCACCUGAGCCAGCGGCAUCAUGGGAAGCUCCUCCUCCUCCCUCGUUGACGAGGCGGAGGACGAUGCGGCGCCCCGGGGUGCAGCUCUGCCUCCCUCCCCCAUCAUGGGAUGCCUGAGGAGCAGCCAAAGCACAUUCCUCCCCCGGCAGCUUCCCAGACCGGGCC
Oreochromis aureus is the source of this 404-nucleotide long non-coding RNA. Lineage: Eukaryota; Metazoa; Chordata; Actinopteri; Cichliformes; Cichlidae. The record is from Ensembl.